AAGACAGAGAGUCAACCGCUCAAUCAUUUUUAUGGAACCCAACUUCCCAUGUCUUAUGAUCAGAAGAUACAGCAUAUAGCAGGUUCAAAUAGUCACAAUUUCAAUACGAAGUGCUACUGACAAUUUAACAUAUAGAAUUAGUAUUUGAAAGAGGAAAAAAAAUCACGAUCAUAUUCUGACCAAUCAUUUGCCUUAUAAAUGCAUUCCAUAUCUCAUUUAGCAAUAGGUCUAUGACUUUCAACUCCUUUAGUGCUUUUAACCAAACCUUUUAAUUUUAAUAGAACAAGUCAUGGAUUUUUAUGGGGGAACAUUCCCUCUGUUUCUACGAAGCAAAUUGAAACUAAAGUUCAGUAGUUCACCCUUAACUGGAAAGAGUACCUUUCACAAACAAUCUCAAGACACAUAAUUGAUUGAUAACCAGUACAUCUUAAUUAUGGGAGUUUCAACUAAUAUCUCAGUAGGGAAAAAAUCAUUGUUAGGACGGAAUUUGCAGGUCUUUUUUUUUUGGCAACUGAGAGAGAGAGAGAGAAGAAGAA
This 536-nucleotide unclassified non-coding RNA is filed under the name Hevea brasiliensis (rubber tree). Lineage: Eukaryota; Viridiplantae; Streptophyta; Magnoliopsida; Malpighiales; Euphorbiaceae. The record is from RNAcentral.